GAUGAACGCUGGCGGCGUGCCUAAUACAUGCAAGUCGAGCGAACAGACGAGGAGCUUGCUCCUCUGACGUUAGCGGCGGACGGGUGAGUAACACGUGGAUAACCUACCUAUAAGACUGGGAUAACUUCGGGAAACCGGAGCUAAUACCGGAUAAUAUAUUUAACCGCAUGGUUCAAUAGUUAAAGACGGUUUUGCUGUCACUUAUAGAUGGAUCCGCGCCGCAUUAGCUAGUUGGUAAGGUAACUGCUUACCAAGGCAACGAUGCGUAGCCGACCUGAGAGCGUGAUCGGCCACACUGGAACUGCGACACGGUCCAGACUCCUACGGGAGGCAGCAGUAGGGAAUCUUCCGCAAUGGGCGAAAGCCUGACGGAGCAACGCCGCGUGAGUGAUGAAGGUCUUCGGAUCGUAAAACUCUGUUAUUAGGGAAGAACAAAUGUGUAAGUAACUAUGCACGUCUUGACGGUACCUAAUCAGAAAGCCACGGCUAACUACGUG
RNAcentral lists this ribosomal RNA (497 nucleotides) under uncultured bacterium. RNAcentral's name for it is "partial 16S ribosomal RNA". It matches the Rfam family "Bacterial small subunit ribosomal RNA", at positions 28 to 507 of the family's 1533-position model. The record is from RNAcentral.